UACGUCGGGUGCAAGCGUGACUCGGCCUCACUGGGCGUAAAGGAUGCGUAGGCUGGAAAUCAAGUCGAGAGUGAAAUCCAACGGCUCAACCGUUGAACUGCUCUCGAAACUGGUUACCUAGAAUAUGGGAGAGGUAGAUGGAAUUAGUGGUGUAGGGGUAAAAUCCGUAGAUAUCACUAGGAAUACCGAUUGCGAAGGCGAUCUACUGGAACAUUAUUGACGCUGAGGCAUGAAAGCGUGGGGAGAACACAGGAGGAGAUACCCGUGUAGUCC
This 273-nucleotide ribosomal RNA is filed under the name uncultured bacterium. Its description in RNAcentral is "partial 16S ribosomal RNA". It matches the Rfam family "Bacterial small subunit ribosomal RNA", at positions 524 to 796 of the family's 1533-position model. The record is from RNAcentral.